Molecule: ribosomal RNA, 376 nt
Filed under: uncultured organism
Description: partial 16S ribosomal RNA
Rfam family: Bacterial small subunit ribosomal RNA
Source: RNAcentral
GUAGGGCCCGAGCGUUAUCCGGAAUCAUUGGGGCGUAAAGAGCUCGUAGGCGGUUCAGCAAGUCGGCUGUGAAAGUUCGAGGCUCAACCUCGAAAUUGCAGUCGAUACUGCUGUGACUUGAAUUCGGUAGAGGAGAAUGGAAUUCCCGGUGUAGCGGUGAAAUGCGCAGAUAUCGGGAGGAACACCAGUAGCGAAGGCGGUUCUCUGGGCCGAUAUUGACGCUGAGGAGCGAAAGCGUGGGGAGCAAACAGGAUUAGAUACCCUGGUAGUCCACGCCGUAAACGUUGGAUGCUAGGUGUGGCGGUCUACCAACGACUGCCGUGCCGAAGCUAACGCAUUAAGCAUCCCGCCUGGGGAGUACGGCCGCAAAGGCUAA